UCAUAAACUUACAAGAAUGACAGCUUAUAAAUAGCAUAACAAAAGCUUAUAAAUAUCCAGCCAACAGCACAAGAGAUUAUGAAUAUCCCCAAUCAUAUACUAACCGAAAAAUCAUAAACUAUAAUUGGAUUUGUAUAAUUCAAUUUGUAUUAUCCAAAUUGCUUUGAAUAGUUGGAAAAUUCUUUAAGUUGUUUUUUUCCUUUCCCUCUCUUGUGCUAUAUAGUCUAUCGAAAAAAACUUCUCUACUUCUUUGAAGAUAAUGGUAUGAUAUGUGUACAUUUCACCUCUCCAAACCUUGCUACAUCGGAAUACACUGGUUUUGUUAUUGUUGUUGUCGUCUGUCUUUUGCUAUAAUAACAAAGCUUUACCUUCCUAUUUUCUCGGCAAUCAUAUUGGGUUUUGCCAAAUGCCAAUAAGGAAAUACAGUUACUUUUGGCUUGGCCUUUCUCAUAAUUGCUAUCGUCAUAAUACAACAACAUAUAAUCGCAGAUUUGCGUAUACUUGACAAUUUUAUUCCUUCCAUGGUCCAGCCUUGCAAAGUAAAAGGGGGGAAAAUGUUCUUCAUUUUAUGCCUGUUCCCUGCUCGAUGUUAUUCCACAAUGAAUAUUGUGCUCUUCGUUCAUUUUCCUAUGUGCAGCUCGACUAAUUAUAUUUACACUUGAGAGGAAAAAAGAUACGUGAGAAAAACCAGGAUAGGGUGAUGGCAGCUGCAAAGCUACACUUGUCUGUUCGUUCUUUCGUCUCUUCUUCAGCAAGAAUGCUUGAAGAAUCCAUUAAAGCUGCGGUGGAAGCAAAAAGAUAUGAACAGAUUCUUGAUAUACUAAGCUCCUCUAAAGGGUCUCACAAUAAUCCGAAUCCCUUUUCAUUUUUAUCCACCUUUCCUGAAAACGCAAGUGUGAAAAUUGUUGAUGAAAUUUUACAGUCUUUUACUCCAAUCAGGCCUCGUUCUCGCCCUCGAUUUGCAUAUUCCUCUCUCCUUUCCUACAGUCUUCAAAGCUCGAACCCUCUCCCACUUGCACUUGCCAUUCUCCAGCGUACCCUUCGCUCUGGCUGCAUUCCGGUACCUCAAACUCACCUCCUACUCUCCACUGCGUGGAUUGAACGUCGGAGUAAAUCCCGUUCUGUUGCGAGCAUAUUGUUGGAAAUGCAGGAUAUUGGAUAUGCACCUGAUUGUGGCACUUGCAAUUACCUGAUAUCAUCGCUUUGUAAGGUUGAUCAGAUAGAUGAAGCGGUUAAUGUAUUGAAGGGCAUGGCUCGUGCUGGUUGCAAUCCGGAUUUGGAUAGUUACGGUACUUUAAUUGACAACUUAUCCGAGCUAAGAAUGACGUCCGCCAUCAUAGAGACAUUGAAUGAAAUGGUUGCGAGAUUUGGCUUGAGCCCCAGAAAAGAAACUUUGGUGAAAGCUUUGGGAGCAAUAAGGGCUAACAAAGAGAUAUCGAGAGCAAUCGAAGUAAUUGAGUUUCUAACAAAUGAGAGUGUGCAUGUUGGGUUUGAGUGCUACGAGUUAGUCCUUGAAGGAUGCUUAGAGAACCGCCAGUUUAUUUUGGGUGGGAAGUUUGUGAUAGAAAUGACCAAGAGAGGCUUCAUACCAUACAUAAGGUCAAGGCAAAAGGUAGUUGAAGGUCUGGCAAGUAUUGGUGAGUGGGAACUUGCCAAUGCUGUCAGGCUGAGGUUUGCAGAACUAAGGUCUUAGUUUCAUUCAUGCAUGUGAAUCAGUAAGCUUUAUAGAGAGGGAUCGAGAUCAUUAUCCAGACUGAAGGAGCAUGUGGUCGGUUAUACUAGUAAUGACUGUAAUUUCAGAACGGAGGUGUCGCAUUCAGCUGCUUUAUUCUCCCACAAUGGUAUUGUCAAUCUGAAGUUUGAAUUCCCUCAUCCCUCAUCCCACUUCCCAGAAGGCAACAUGCAUCUUGGUGGCAAGGUAUUCCAUACUAGAGCUGAAUGCACUCUAUGCACAAUAAUCUUGUGAUCAUACAAGACAAAAGAGCGACUAAACUGUAUCUUCAGCUAUUCAAUUGAUUGUAUGCAUCAAAAUCCCAAGAGAUGCUCUGUUUUCUUUCUUUUAUUUAGUCUAUUUUGAAUUUAUCCAUUGAAAAACUUCAUCAUUCUGAAGCACCAGUGCGUUUUUUUUUUCUCUUUUCUGUCAUACUCAUCACGUUGACCUUCGUUUAGUACUUCAGAAAAAAAUUGGUAUUAACGUAGUUAAAUACAUAAAACGAUAGGAUAACUUUAGUAUGAUCAUGCAAAAAGCUAAGCAAUCAUUAUUUUUUUCGCUCCUGAAAUAUUAGCGACAUACCAUUA
This is an RNA transcript of Capsicum annuum, 2298 nucleotides long. It is a transcript of the gene named pentatricopeptide repeat-containing protein At1g06270, with no coding region annotated. The transcript is spliced from 2 exons. The record is from RefSeq and is a predicted model, not a curated record. NCBI's taxonomy places the organism in Eukaryota, Viridiplantae, Streptophyta, Magnoliopsida, Solanales, Solanaceae.